Molecule: ribosomal RNA, 466 nt
Filed under: uncultured bacterium
Lineage: Bacteria
Description: partial 16S ribosomal RNA
Rfam family: Bacterial small subunit ribosomal RNA
Source: RNAcentral
GAUGAACGCUGGCGGCGUGCUUAACACAUGCAAGUCGAACGAUGAAGCCCAGCUUGCUGGGUGGAUUAGUGGCGAACGGGUGAGUAACACGUGAGUAACCUGCCCUUGACUCUGGGAUAAGCCUGGGAAACUGGGUCUAAUACUGGAUAUGACUUCUCAUCGCAUGGUGGGGGGUGGAAAGAUUUAUUGGUCUUGGAUGGACUCGCGGCCUAUCAGCUUGUUGGUGAGGUAAUGGCUCACCAAGGCGACGACGGGUAGCCGGCCUGAGAGGGUGACCGGCCACACUGGGACUGAGACACGGCCCAGACUCCUACGGGAGGCAGCAGUGGGGAAUAUUGCACAAUGGGCGCAAGCCUGAUGCAGCGACGCCGCGUGAGGGAUGACGGCCUUCGGGUUGUAAACCUCUUUCGGUAGGGAAGAAGCGAGAGUGACGGUACCUGCAGAAGAAGCGCCGGCUAACUACGUG